Molecule: ribosomal RNA, 460 nt
Filed under: uncultured bacterium
Lineage: Bacteria
Description: partial 16S ribosomal RNA
Rfam family: Bacterial small subunit ribosomal RNA
Source: RNAcentral
CCUACGGGAGGCAGCAGUGAGGAAUAUUGGUCAAUGGGCGCGAGCCUGAACCAGCCAAGUAGCGUGAAGGAUGAAUGCCCUACGGGUUGUAAGCUUCUUUUAUAAAGGAAUAAAGUGAGGCACGUGUGCCUUUUUGUAUGUACUUUAUGAGUAAGGAUCGGCUAACUCCGUGCCAGCAGCCGCGGUAAUAAGGAGGGUCCGAGCGUUAUUCGGAUUUAUUGGGUUUAAAGGGAGCGUAGGUGGGUUGUUAAGUCAGUUGUGAAAGUUUGCGGCUCAACCGUAAAAUUGCAAUUGAUACUGGUAGGCUUGAGUAUAGUAGAGGGAGGUAGAAUUCGAGGUGUAGCGGUGAAAUGCUUAGAGAUCACGAAGAACUCCGAUUGCGAAGGCAGCUUACUAAACUGCGACUGACAUUGAUGUUCGAAAGUGUGGGUAUCAAACAGGAUUAGAUACCCCAGUAGUC